RNAcentral lists this ribosomal RNA (1257 nucleotides) under Aenictopecheidae sp. PJ-2015. RNAcentral's name for it is "l-rRNA". The record is from RNAcentral. Lineage: Eukaryota; Metazoa; Arthropoda; Insecta; Hemiptera; Aenictopecheidae.
UUAUAAAAAUAUUAUUUUUUUUUAAAAAUUAAUUUUUAAAAAAAAUAUUUAAAUUUUUAGUAUUAUUUAGAAAUAAAAAUUUUUAUUAUAUUUUAUAUUACAGUAAUGGAAUUUUUUUUAUAAUUUAUAAGUAUUUUUAAUUUAAAGUACCUUUUGUAUCAGGGUUUAUUAAAUAUAUUUUAUAUUUUUUAAUAUUCUCGAAAUUAAAAGCUUAAAAUAAAUAUGUUAGUUAAUGUAGUAAAAUUAUUAAUAAUAUUUAUUUAUAAAUUAAAUGUUAAUAGUUUUUAAUAUAUCUAGUUAUUUAAUAAUUAAAUUAAAUUUAGAAUAUAAUAGUAUAAUUAGAAUUAAAUUUAUAUUUAUUUAUUAUAUUUAAUAUAUUAAGGGAUAAGCUUUAAUUUAUUUUUAUAAUUAACUUAUAAAUAUAUAUUUGUAAGAUUAAUAAUAUCUAUCAUUUAUUUUUUUAUAAUUAUUAUAUAUAUAUAAUAAUUUUUUAUUAAUUUAAUUUAUUAUUAAAUUAAAAUUUUUAAUAUUAUUUAAUUUGUAAUAAUGAUAAAAUUAUUAAUUAUGAAAAUUUUAUUAAUAUGAAUUCGACAAAUAAUAUUUUCACCUGUUUAUCAAAAACAUGUCUUAAAGAAUUAAUUUUAAGUUGGGCCUACUCAAUGAAUUAUUAAAUAGUUGCAGUAUUUUGACUGUAUUAAGGUAGCAUAAUAAUUUGAUUUUUAAUUGAAAUCUAGAAUGAAAGGUUUGAUGAAAAAUAUAUUUUAUUUAAUAAAAUUUAAUUAAUUUAAUUUUUUAGUUAAAAAGCUAAAAUAUUAUUAUAGGACGAUAAGACCCUAUAGAACUUUAUAUAUAAUAUUUAUUAAAUUUUUAAAGAUUAUUAUUAAUUUUAAAAUAUUAUAUAUUUAAUUGGGGAGAUUUUAUAAUAAAUACAACUUAUAAAUAUAUAUAUCAUAAAUAAAUGAAAUAUUUGAUCCAAUUUAAUUAAAUUGAUUAUUAGAACAAGUUACCUUAGGGAUAACAGCGUAAUUUUUUUGGAUAGUUCAUAUUGAUAAAAAAGUUUGCGACCUCGAUGUUGAAUUAAGAUUAUAUAUAAAUGCAGUAGUUUAUAUUAUAAGUCUGUUCGACUUUUAAAUUCUUACAUGAUUUGAGUUCAAAUCGGCGUGAGCCAGAUUGGUUUUUAUCCUUAAUAAUUUAAAAUAUUUUAGUACGAAAGGACCAAAUAUUUGAAAUAAUUUUUAUUUAAGAAUAUCAUUAAUA